RNAcentral lists this ribosomal RNA (532 nucleotides) under uncultured bacterium. Its description in RNAcentral is "bacterial SSU rRNA". It matches the Rfam family "Bacterial small subunit ribosomal RNA", at positions 355 to 907 of the family's 1533-position model. The record is from RNAcentral.
UGGGGAAUCUUGGACAAUGGGGGCAACCCUGAUCCAGCCAUGCCGCGUGAGUGAUGAAGGCCUUAGGGUCGUAAAGCUCUUUCGCCUGUGAAGAUAAUGACGGUAGCAGGUAAAGAAACCCCGGCUAACUCCGUGCCAGCAGCCGCGGUAAUACGGAGGGGGUUAGCGUUGUUCGGAAUUACUGGGCGUAAAGGGCGUGUAGGCGGCCAAUUAAGUCAGAGGUGAAAUCCCGAGCUCAACUUGGGAACUGCCUUUGAUACUGAUUGGCUAGAGUUCGGGAGAGGGUAGUGGAAUUCCCAGUGUAGAGGUGAAAUUCGUAGAUAUUGGGAAGAACACCAGUGGCGAAGGCGGCUACCUGGACCGAUACUGACGCUGAGGUGCGAAAGUGUGGGGAGCAAACAGGAUUAGAUACCCUGGUAGUCCACACCGUAAACGAUGAAUGCCAGUCGUCGGGUAGCAUGCUAUUCGGUGACACACCUAACGGAUUAAGCAUUCCGCCUGGGGAGUACGGUCGCAGAUUAAAACUCAAAGG